Molecule: transfer-messenger RNA, 363 nt
Filed under: Xanthobacteraceae bacterium
Lineage: Bacteria; Pseudomonadati; Pseudomonadota; Alphaproteobacteria; Hyphomicrobiales; Xanthobacteraceae
Rfam family: Alphaproteobacteria transfer-messenger RNA
About the family: Bacterial tmRNA, also known as 10Sa RNA or SsrA, is named for its dual tRNA and mRNA-like properties. Its role is to liberate the mRNA from a stalled ribosome.
Source: RNAcentral
GCUCUUUUCGUCUCGCCGUCCUCACCUAUAUUCGGGGGCCGGCGCGAGCCGGCUAUGGCGAUAAAUGGCCGUCGUAAUAAACCCAUCGGACCCGGGGGCAGUACCCGGCGCCUCCACCCGUGCGGCCGCCCCAGGCGGCCGGGCCGCAUCGGCGGGGGCGAAACAGGAUCGACGAGGGCGUAAAGGGCGUGCUUUUGCUCGGCAUGGUACCACCGAUAUCGGGCCAUAUUCAUAGUUGCCAACGACAACUAUGCUCCGGUGGCUCAGGCCGCGUAACGCGGCUUGAAAGACCGAUCUGAAGCCCUGGCGGGUUAAGCUCCGUCAGGCGGGGUUCGGAGGCACCUGGCAACAGAAGCCUCCACU